GGGGGGCUGGCGCAACGGUAGCGCGGUAUGUUCACACACAACAACUCAAUCAGCGAGUUCAAUCCACUAACUCACAAGCAGUCAGAUUCCAGACUUGGAAUUUCCUGAAGGUUAUCCGUUCGAAUCGGGUGCUCCUCA
Non-coding RNA from Purpureocillium lilacinum, 138 nucleotides. NCBI's taxonomy places the organism in Eukaryota, Fungi, Ascomycota, Sordariomycetes, Hypocreales, Ophiocordycipitaceae. The record is from the annotation of a RefSeq genome assembly.